GGAGGAAAGUAGGGGAUCGCAAGACCUUGCGCUUUUGGAGCGGCCGAUGUCUGAUUAGCUAGUUGGUGAGGUAAAGGCUUACCAAGGCUUCGAUCAGUAGCUGGUCUGAGAGGACGACCAGCCACACUGGGACUGAGACACGGCCCAGACUCCUACGGGAGGCAGCAGUGGGGAAUUUUGGACAAUGGGGGAAACCCUGAUCCAGCCAUGCCGCGUGAGUGAAGAAGGCCUUCGGGUUGUAAAGCUCUUUCAGCCGGAACGAAAAGGUUACGGUUAAUACCCGUGACUAAUGACGGUACCGGAAGAAGAAGCACCGGCUAACUACGUGCCAGCAGCCGCGGUAAUACGUAGGGUGCGAGCGUUAAUCGGAAUUACUGGGCGUAAAGCGUGCGCAGGCGGUUUUGUAAGUCAGAUGUGAAAUCCCCGGGCUCAACCUGGGAACUGCGUUUGAAACUACAAAGCUAG
RNAcentral lists this ribosomal RNA (465 nucleotides) under uncultured bacterium. RNAcentral describes it as "bacterial SSU rRNA". It matches the Rfam family "Bacterial small subunit ribosomal RNA", at positions 198 to 644 of the family's 1533-position model. The record is from RNAcentral.